RNAcentral lists this unclassified non-coding RNA (221 nucleotides) under Hevea brasiliensis (rubber tree). Lineage: Eukaryota; Viridiplantae; Streptophyta; Magnoliopsida; Malpighiales; Euphorbiaceae. The record is from RNAcentral.
AAGAAUAGCCAGUGAGAAUUCUGAUUCUGUAGUAAAUAAAAAUGAAGGGCACUCGCCGCCAUCUUCUCCGUUGUCAGCUUCAAAUCAUAGCAGUUCUGAGAAUAACCGAAAUGGGUUUGCAAAAUUUUUUUCUAGAAGCAAGAAUGGAAUACAACUAGAAAUUUAGCAAGUAUCAGAUCAGGAAAGAAGAAAAACAGCUAUAUAUUGAUGAUUUCUUGAUU